GCAGGUAUAGUAUAGUGGUAGUAUUUCUGCUUGCCAUGCAGACGGCACGGGUUCGAAUCCCGUUACUUGCUCCA
This 74-nucleotide transfer RNA is filed under the name Lachnospiraceae bacterium. RNAcentral's name for it is "tRNA-Gly". It matches the Rfam family "tRNA". From Rfam's summary of the family: Transfer RNA (tRNA) molecules are approximately 80 nucleotides in length. Their secondary structure includes four short double-helical elements and three loops (D, anti-codon, and T loops). The record is from RNAcentral. Lineage: Bacteria; Bacillati; Bacillota; Clostridia; Lachnospirales; Lachnospiraceae.